Molecule: ribosomal RNA, 465 nt
Filed under: Vreelandella stevensii
Lineage: Bacteria; Pseudomonadati; Pseudomonadota; Gammaproteobacteria; Oceanospirillales; Halomonadaceae
Description: partial 16S ribosomal RNA
Rfam family: Bacterial small subunit ribosomal RNA
Source: RNAcentral
CCUACGAGAGGCAGCAGUGGGGAAUAUUGGACAAUGGGGGGAACCCUGAUCCAGCCAUGCCGCGUGUGUGAAGAAGGCCCUCGGGUUGUAAAGCACUUUCAGUGAGGAAGAACGCCUGGUGGUUAAUACCCAUCAGGAAAGACAUCACUCACAGAAGAAGCACCGGCUAACUCCGUGCAAGCAGCCGCGGUAAUACGGAGGGUGCGAGCGUUAAUCGGAAUUACUGGGCGUAAAGCGCGCGUAGGUGGCUUGAUAAGCCGGUUGUGAAAGCCCCGGGCUCAACCUGGGAACGGCAUCCGGAACUGUCAAGCUAGAGUGCAGGAGAGGAAGGUAGAAUUCCCGGUGUAGCGGUGAAAUGCGUAGAGAUCGGGAGGAAUACCAGUGGCGAAGGCGGCCUUCUGGACUGACACUGACACUGAGGUGCGAAAGCGUGGGUAGCAAACAGGAUUAGAUACCCGGGUAGUC